GGACUACCAGGGUUUCUAAUCCCGUUCGCUCCCCAUGCUGUCGUGUCUGAGCGUCAGGGGCGAGCCAGGAGGCCGCCUUCGCCUCUGGGGUUCCUCCGGAUCUCUACGCAUUUCACCACUACACCCGGAAUUCCACCUCCCUCUCUCGCCCUCUAGCCCUGCAGUCUGGCAUAACCUCCCCCGGUUGAGCCGGAAGAUUUCAUACACCACUUGUAGGGCAGCCUGCACACGCUUUACGCCCAGUAAAUCCGGAUAACGCUUGCCACCUACGUUUUACCGCGGCGGCUGGCAC
This 292-nucleotide ribosomal RNA is filed under the name uncultured bacterium. Its description in RNAcentral is "partial 16S ribosomal RNA". The record is from RNAcentral.